This 841-nucleotide ribosomal RNA is filed under the name Myxozoa sp. OMsCVII 15. RNAcentral's name for it is "SSU rRNA". It matches the Rfam family "Eukaryotic small subunit ribosomal RNA", at positions 157 to 898 of the family's 1831-position model. The record is from RNAcentral. Lineage: Eukaryota; Metazoa; Cnidaria; Myxozoa.
UCUAGAGCUAAUACAUGUACGUUUUGGCGCAAGCCAAUUGCAUUUAUUAGAACAAUCCAACCGCGGAGGCAACUCCGUGUGGUGAAUCUAGAUAACUUUGCAGAUCGUAUGGCCUCGAGCUGACGACGUUUCGAUUGAAUUUCUGCCCUAUCAACUUUGUUGGCAGUGUAGUGGACUGCCAAGGUUUUUACGGGUAACGGGGGAUCAGGGUUCGAUUCCGGAGAGGGAGCCUGAGAAACGGCUACCACAUCCAAGGAAGGCAGCAGGCGCGCAAAUUACCCAAUCCAAACAAUGGGAGGUGGUGACGAAAAGUACAGGAUGGCGAUUUUAUCGCCAGUCUUGAAUGAAAACAAUUUAAGCAAUUGAAUUGAGUAACGACUGGAGGGCAAGUCUGGUGCCAGCAGCCGCGGUAAUUCCAGCUCCAGUAGCGUACAGCAACGUUGCUGCGCUUAAAACGCUCGUAGUUGGAUCACUCACUGUGCUUCGGUGUACAUUGUUCGUGCCCGUCUCUCGUCAAACCGGUUACGAUCGUGUCUCUGUCGGGUGGGUGCGGCUUUGUAAUUUAGCCGUUGUGCAGUAAUUGCACGUGAGGAUGGCCGUUGACCUUUAGUGCGUUGACGGUUGUGUCUCACGGGGUGUGCCUUGAGUAAAUCAGAGUGCUUAAAGCAGGCUUUACGCUUGAAUGUUAUUAGCAUGGAACGAACAAUCGUGUAUGGUGUGUGCUGGGAACGGUGGGUGGCGUUUCGUCGCUCACUACAGCAUACGACACCGACCGCCAAUUACGGAUGUUGGUUCCGUAUUGGGGUACUGAUUAAGAGGAGCGGUUGGGGGCAUUGGUAUU